UUGAACGCUGGCGGCAGGCCUAACCCAUGCCAGGCGAGCGGAUGAAGGGAGCUUGCUCCUGGAUUCAGCGGCGGACGGGGGAGUAAUGCCUAGGAAUCUGCCUGGUAGUGGGGGAUAACGUCCGGAAACGGGCGCUAAUACCGCAUACGUCCUGAGGGAGAAAGUGGGGGAUCUUCGGACCUCACGCUAUCAGAUGAGCCUAGGUCGGAUUAGCUAGUUGGUGGGGUAAAGGCCUACCAAGGCGACGACCCGUAACUGGUCUGAGAGGAUGAUCAGUCACACUGGAACUGAGACACGGUCCAGACUCCUACGGGAGGCAGCAGUGGGGAAUAUUGGACAAUGGGCGAAAGCCUGAUCCAGCCAUGCCGCGUGUGUGAAGAAGGUCUUCGGAUUGUAAAGCACUUUAAGUUGGGAGGAAGGGCAGUAAGUUAAUACCUUGCUGUUUUGACGUUACCAACAGAAUAAGCACCGGCUAACUUCGUG
This 483-nucleotide ribosomal RNA is filed under the name uncultured bacterium. RNAcentral's name for it is "partial 16S ribosomal RNA". It matches the Rfam family "Bacterial small subunit ribosomal RNA", at positions 30 to 507 of the family's 1533-position model. The record is from RNAcentral.